Molecule: ribosomal RNA, 481 nt
Filed under: uncultured bacterium
Lineage: Bacteria
Description: partial 16S ribosomal RNA
Rfam family: Bacterial small subunit ribosomal RNA
Source: RNAcentral
AUUGAACGCUGGCGGCAUGCUUUACACAUGCAAGUCGAACGGUAACAGCACUUCGGUGGCUGACGAGUGGCGAACGGGUGAGUAAUACAUCGGAACGUGCCUAGUAGUGGGGGAUAACUACUCGAAAGAGUAGCUAAUACCGCAUGAGAUCUAAGGAUGAAAGCAGGGGACCUUCGGGCCUUGCGCUACUAGAGCGGCUGAUGGCAGAUUAGGUAGUUGGUGGGAUAAAAGCUUACCAAGCCGACGAUCUGUAGCUGGUCUGAGAGGACGACCAGCCACACUGGGACUGAGACACGGCCCAGACUCCUACGGGAGGCAGCAGUGGGGAAUUUUGGACAAUGGGCGCAAGCCUGAUCCAGCAAUGCCGCGUGCAGGAUGAAGGCCUUCGGGUUGUAAACUGCUUUUGUACGGAACGAAAAGCCCUCUUCUAAUACAGGAGGGUCAUGACGGUACCGUAAGAAUAAACACCGGCUAACUACGU